This 34251-nucleotide long non-coding RNA is filed under the name Linum usitatissimum (flax). RNAcentral's name for it is "long non-coding RNA (LUSI_LNC005216)". The record is from RNAcentral. Lineage: Eukaryota; Viridiplantae; Streptophyta; Magnoliopsida; Malpighiales; Linaceae.
AUGGUGUUAACUUAGAUGAUUUGUUUUGCAGGUAGCUGAGUUUGGGGAAGGAAGGGAAAUAGUAGGAGUGGUAAGAGCGUGUAUUAAAACGGUAUCAAGAGGAGAAUCAUCGAAUAUGAAUGAUUAUGUCAAGUUGGCUUAUAUUCUCGGACUCAGAGUCUCUCCAACUCAUAGGUAACUAUUUAUAUAUUAACGUGAGUUUAAUUGAUGGCAAUAAAUUUUUUGUAAAAACGGGUAAAACCAUAAAGUUGCCGUUAAAAAAUCAGAUUCUAAACGAGAAAUUAAAAAUAGAUCUAAAAAUCAAUCAAAAUUGUACUAUUCGCACCAUUUGUAUAUUCAUAUUAUGCCUUUUUACAUAUUAUUGUCAUACAUUUCCUCUUUGGUUACAUAUGCUUAAUCACACUGUUCGUGACGUAUAUCUCUUAAAUCUUGCUUUUAACCUGGUAAACCCCGUCUAAUCGCAAAUUAUCCAACCGAGUACAAAACAAAGAUGGAUAAUAAAUUUAUAUUUGUUUAGUAAACCAGACGGGGACAUGAUAAUAAACCCGUCCCCAUACCCACCCAUCACCACCAUCCUAUGAUUUCUCUAUUUUAACUGUUUGAUUAAUGUUUCUGUCAGUUCCAUCAUAUCUUUGUCACUCGAUAUUUUAUAUAACGAUUUAUUUGAGUUGUGAUACUGGACGGAAAAGAUGACGGAAGUUGAUAGAAAUGUUAUUAUAUUACGCAGAUCAUUAAAUUAGACGAGUGGGUUAUUAGUGAUUAUAAAAUGAAAGUUAAACAAUCAAAUUGUUACAAUGCUCAAAUUUUGUGACCGCAUGUAUGUUUAAAGUAGUGUAUAAUUAAAGGGCUUUCUCGAAGGUUUUGGUGUUUUGCUUUUGCUGGGCUCUGAAGUUUGGCAAAACCCCACUGACCUCCCACAAAAUAUAACUAGUUAUUUGAUUGGGACCUAAAGAAACAUAAUUUUCCUCGUAUCAUGGAAAUAAAUAAAUAAAUAUUAUAUAUACGACCUAACAAAAUCAAAAUUGAUAAUUCAUAUGUUAAUUAGCUAGCCUGUCUUCGACGCGUGUAUAUAAAAUUACAUCCCCUCUUUAUCUUUUGGGAACAAUUAUCUAUUAAUUACUUUGCAAACGACAACCCUUAAUUAUUUAUUAGUUAUUACUUUAAAACUAAUUAUAAUUUAAAAAAUGGGGACAACAAAGCACAAAAGUAUUCGUGGUGCAACAUUGCUUAGGCAUAAUUUGGCAAGUUUUACCAAAUUUCAAUUGGACAUAUGGGUUAUUCUCCAAUCCAAUAGCAUAUAUCAUACACAUAUUCUUCUGUUAGUGCUUUCAAUUAAUACUUCUUAUUUGAAAAUAAUUCGCUUAUACGAAAUCACGAUCUCAAUGUAGUUACUAUUUACUAGUUCGUUACAUUAUAAUUAAUAUUUGUUCGAUUAUUAUUUCGUUAUUGUGAUCUUAAUUACUAUAUUGAUUUUUAGUUUCGUGUAAGGUUGAAUUUUUUAUUAUGUAGUUAAAAAAUAAAAUAUGAUAAAUUGAUUAAUUUUUUGAUUCUGUCACUAACCCGAGAUAUUUGGACAAUACAGGAGACUUAGUAUAGGCGCAAAGCUAGUGUCCAAAGUAGAAGAAUGGAGCAGACGAAACGGCGCCGUAUACACAUACAUUGCAACCGAUUGCACCAACCAACCUUCCAUCAACCUCUUCACUGGCAAAUUAUCCUACACAAAAUUCCGUACCCCGGCGAUGCUAGUCCAGCCGGUGCACGCGCACCGCAAGUCCAUACCAUCCUCCACAGCAAUCAUUCAACUAACCCCACGCGCCGCCUCUCUAAUCUACCGGAAGGUGUUCAAGUCCGCCGAAUUCGUUCCCAAAGACAUCGACUCGAUCUUCUCCAACAAACUAAAUUUAGGCACCUUCAUAGCCGUGUCCAAAAAACACGCGGACGGUACCAAAAGUAACACCCUUAGUAGUUGUACUGAUCUACCGACGAGCUUUGCCAUCAUGAGCAUUUGGAACACGAAGGAAGUGUUUCGAAUGCAAGUGAAGGGCGCGUCGAGGGUCAGCCGGGCUUGUUGUGCCGCGUCGUGGAUGAUGGACACGUGGCUACCGUGUCUGAAGCUGCCGUCGAUCAACCCUAGAGUGUUCGGGGAGUUUGGAGUCCGGGUGGUGUACGGAUUGCACAUGGAAGGUGAAGGUGCGGGGAGGCUCAUGAAAGCUUUGUGUGGGUACGCACACAAUAUGGCGAUGAGUGACAAAGGGUGCGGCGGAUUGGUCGUUGAGGUGGGCCCGCGGGACCCGGUGAGAAAGGUGGUCCCACAUUGGAGGAGGUUUUCCUGGGAGCAAGAUAUUUGGUGCAUCAAGAAACUUGACGUAGAAGGAGAAGAGGGUGAUUAUGAGCCGUCCGAUUGGGUGACAUCUUCCGCGAAGUCGUCGCCAGUGAUUUUCGUUGACCCUAGAGAUUUCUGAUUUUGUGUAGUGAAACGAGAGAAUUUGGUUAGUUGUUGUAAAAUCCAGUUCAUGGAGUCUUCUUACCCGGCAAUCAAAAGGGUAACGGGGAAAGUAGAAGACGAUUUUAUAUUUCUUUUUAAUUAAUUUUUCGGUGCACAAAAAGGAUUUUUCGCAAUUUGUAAAUAAUAUCUUCAAAUUAUCAAAACAUUCGAAGUAUAUAUAAUCAUAGAAUUCACUAAAAAAUGUUUGAUAUGAGUGAUAAUUGUAUAAAGAAAAUUACUACUUAUUACAAGACAAUCCUAAUUACAAAAGAGUCUCUAAAUCUUAUACUCCUAACACCCUCCUCAAGUUAAUUAAGCUAAUCGGAUUGUAAAUGUUUAUGAGUCCAAACUUGAAUAAUGAUAAAAGAAAAGUCUUUUAGUAGUAGAAUCAUUGCUCGUAUCCGAGGGUGGUUGUUUGUUAAUCACGUUAAAAGUACGAUCAAAAUACACCAUUUUCAUUACAACAUUUUCUUUCUCAGAUAUUCCCCUCUUAAUUUUUGGGAGGACCUUGGUUGGUUCAAUAGAAAUUUUAGGGUGAAUACCCCUCUCAAUUUUAUCAGACAUUUUACAAUAUAACGAAUUGGUUUGAGUCCAGCCUAUUUGGAAGGAGUGUUGUUGAAGAGUAUAUGAUGAUGUUCAUAUAUAUAAAGGUAUACUAUAUUUUCUUAAUUGAUUCGUCUUAAUUUUGAGUUUAUGUGGAGUUUUUUUAAUACUUUUUGUUGAGAUUUUUUAUUGGUAUAUUUGAAAUAUAACUUGUUUUAGUUAUAACUUUUGGUUUAAUGAAAAUGAAAAAUUUAACGAAAAAAGAACGAUACCUCAUUAAACGGCACCACAUAGCUCGUAUAUUUCAUUGAAACGACAACACUUCAAUCAUAGGUAUUACAGAGCCAGUUAUAGAUAUGACUCACUUCCUGGAAACAUCAUCAUCAGACUAUUAGAGAUUGCAUUAUCACUUAAUUAAUCAAUGUCCACCUUCUGUUGUCACAACCUUGAUUCAUCAAGAAUGUAUCCGCCUUGAUUCAUCAAGCGUGGAGGCAUGCCUGCAAUUUGAUGUAUAAUAUGGUCGGAAAAAAAAGAAGGUCGAGAAAUCCCAAUCACUUAAAACAGUGCAGGGUUCCGCAAUAUAUAUGUCGAAAUUCGGUUCUCCAUAGUAAAAAAGUAAACAGUUAGAUAAAAAAAUGUUAGAAUUAAGCUUCGAUAUUAUUAUUUUGACCAUUAGCUUAACGGUCAAACGACAAUGUCAUUUUAUUUUAUAACGUUCUAAACUUAAUAAACGCUAAGUGCAAUGAUCAAUAACAUAAUUUCGUCAAUUGGGUGGGACUCAGUUAGUCAAAAUUCAGCCACGUGUCACGUAAUCCACAACUCCACCACCGCCGCACGUUCAAGUCAGAAAGCAAGACGAGGUGAGCUGAGCUGAGUAGAGCUUACUGAAGCGGACCAUGGCGCUUCCUAAAAUGGCUUCCUCGCCGAACUCCGUCUCUUCAAGUCAUUCCGGCCUCUCGAUCUUCCCCUCACCUCUCCGUAACUCAACUCCUCUCUCACUUGCGCCGUCGACAUCUGCCGCUCCGUGGCGCACGCGAAGUGGUGGCGGCAUUGGAGCACUCCUCCGGCAGAACAAUCGGCAAUGGCGGAAAUCAAUUAGAGCUCAAGCUGCUGUUACUCAAAGUAGCGGUAACGAUCCGAAGAGUGGUGUAGCCGUUUACAAGCCUAAGUCCUACGAGGUUCUCGCCGCCGAUGCCGCCAAUUCGCUGGCCUUCGCAAUUCAGGACGGCAAGCAAAGAAUGGAAAUCGAUUUUCCGUAAGUCUGCCGUUUCGCAAUUCUUGUGUUCUGACAUAAACUAAAGAGAUUGUAAUUUGAAUUUCUCGAUUUCUCUGCUAUUUCAGGCCCUUACCUAGCGACAUUUCUUCAUACAAGGUACCUUCCUGCUUACACACUUGCUUCCAAUUAUCCUUACAAUGCUUAACCUGUGUUGAUUCCUUCAUAAUGCUUUUCUUAAUUGUCAUUUAAUUUUCCGAUAUGGUUAUUAUUAUCCCAUUCGCCCUUUAGUGAGAACCAUGUGGAUGAGCUUAAACUUUGAGAAACAAACAUGUGUUUUAAUGUCGAGUACCUGACCAUGUGAAGGGGUCUUCAGAUGAGUUCAUCGACGCCAACAUUCAACUAGCAUUGGCUGUUAUCAGGAACCUGAAAGCGAGAGUCGAAACAAGAGCCUGCAUUGUAAGGCGACCAAUAGCUUGCAAACAAUAAAAGUUCAUUGUUUAAUGUUGAAUGUUCAUUCACAAUUCGAAUUAAAAAGAUGCCCUUUAUGUAUUUGUGUAUGCUUGAUUUCAGGUGUUCCCUGAUACGCCAGAAAAACGCAGGGCAUCUAAGCGUUUCGGAACCGCCAUUGACUCGGUAAAACCUCUUUCACUCGUUGGACUAUUCAUUUUAUGCAGCACAUAUUAUUGUGUCGCUAAAUCUCCUUUAAUCUGCCCUGGUGAUACUUUUUGCUUUGUUUUUUGAAUUCUUCUAGCGGCAUUUCCAUGGAUGUUCGCCCUCCCCCCCCNNNNNNNNNNNNNNNNNNNNNNNNNNNNNNNNNNNNNNNNNNNNNNNNNNNNNNNNNNNNNNNNNNNNNNNNNNNNNNNNNNNNNNNNNNNNNNNNNNNNNNNNNNNNNNNNNNNNNNNNNNNNNNNNNNNNNNNNNNNNNNNNNNNNNNNNNNNNNNNNNNNNNNNNNNNNNNNNNNNNNNNNUCAAGAAACUAUGAACAAAAUGGCGUUUAAAUUUGUGCACUACGUAUUGUAUGACAUGUACUUGCUAAAACUGCCUCCAGGUCGAAGGAAUAACUGUUGGUUCACUUGAUGAUCUCCCUAGUGGUCCUGUCGACAAUUUCUUCAAGUCUAUCAGGAGCACCUUAGAUUUCGAUUUCGAAGAAGAUAAUGAAGGUUAGUCCCACAAAGUAAAGUACUGGGUAAAAUUGUUCAUCAUUACUAACUUUUCCUGCUUAAAUUAUAUACUUGGAGCACUGGAGCUGUUUUACGUUAACUUUUUGAGCUGGUGCAUAUCCUUCUCCCUUUUUUCCUACUAUUAUAUAGCCGUUUCUUAGUUCAUGAUUCCACUUCCAUUCUCAGGUCGUUGGCAGUCAGAUGAGGCACCAUCGCUUUAUCUGUUUCUUAACUGCAGCACACGUGAAUUAUCUGGCAUAGAGAAGUAUGUGGUGAGUCUCUCUAGCACUUGAUAUCUCUUGAACCAGUUUUCUUGUAGCAUCUUGCUUCACUUGCUCGGUUCCUCCCUUUGGGUAUCUUGAACUUGAUUUCAUGUGUCUGAAGGCAUAGACAUGGUCUAUGGUAUUCAACAACUGAAUCAUCUGUUAUGAUAUAUAAUAUAGUUCCCUUUGUUUCCUUGACACCUUUUAAAUUCUCAAUUCCCGGAUGCAUGAAAUUUGCAGGAGAAAUUUGCUUCGGCAACCCCAACAGUUCUGUUCAAUCUUGAACUUGAUACGCUACGGUAUACAACUUUUAUCUUGUUUUCAUUGAUAUAUGUAGCGGCUUUGUUUACUUUUUUAAUCUGUGCUGAUGUACUAGUGAUCAAAUAAGUAAAUGCUUCCCUCUUUGUAGAGCUGACUUGGGUCUCUUUGGGUUUCCCACAAAAGAUUUGCAUUAUCGGUUUCUGUCUCAAUAUAUCCCAGUUUUCUAUAUUCGAAUUAGAGAUUACUCAAAGGUAACUAACUAAUCUUUGUUAAGUCAUCCUUCCAUUGUUUUAUGACUUGAUAUGUCAAUAACACGGUGCUCUUACUCAUCUAAGACAGUAGCAAUAGCACCUUACAUCGUCAACUACAGUGGCGCCUUAUUUCGUCAAUAUCCAGGUAUGAGAUGAAGCUUGUUUAAUUUAUCUGAAACACUCUUUUGAAAUACUCUUUUCGUUGAUUAACAAUUGUGUCUUCACUCUUCAGGGCCUUGGCAGGUUAUGCUCAAGCAGGCAGAUGGUUCUUAUGCUUGUGUAGCAGAGAGUAGUACACGCUUCACACUCGGCGAGGUAUAAAUCUCUUCCAGCCAAUAUGCAUCAGUUGAAGCAGUUGAAUACUAUGUAUGAUAAUGUUUUUGUGGACAAUUCUUCUCCAGACAAAAGAAGAACUAUUAAGGGUUCUCGGGCUUCAGGAGGAGCAGGGUAGCAAUUUGCAGUUUCUUCGUAGAGGUUACAGGGUAAUCUCAGUAUUCAUAAUUGGGUUGUCAUAUUGCUCUUUUAAAUCUUGUGAAGGAAAUGGCAUCAAUAUACUUAUUCCAAUACUGCAGGCUGCUACUUGGUGGGAAGAAGACGUUGACUUGGAAGAAUCUCAAGCAUGGCGUAGCUGACUAGCAACGGCAGCACAGGGGAUUCACUGGACCAACUGUUACAGGUUUCGCCGUUUCGGAAGUACAAAAUGGGUAGUUGGAGAUUCCACUUUUGUUUAUAUGAUUUCGUUUUCAUUUUUAUGAAAGGUGAAAUAACAUGGGGGGCUUAUGCUCUGUUGAAAAUAUAAUUUGAAUUCUGGAGAAAUUGUUGAAGAAAUAUAUCUAUAGAGAGUUAACCUUUUUUAUGUCUCGUUGUGCAAACUUAACAGUAGGAAUUUUUUUCCAAAAUGGAAGUAUGUAACCCAGAACGAAGCGAUAGAUCAUACAACAGGAGUUCUCCUAAUGUUCAAAAUCUGGCGCCGGCGGUCCCGAUGAAAACGUCAUAAUCCGAGGGUACUUCUGGCACCAGAGGAGGAGCCGGAACUGGCAGUGUGACGUCAGGCACUGGCGGCAGUGGAUCACUUUCAUCAACCGGCGGUGGUGAUAGUAUAACUGGAAAAUCUGGAGCCUCCGGUGUGAAGAAAUCGUCGGCAGCCGGUGGCGGAGAAGAGAAAACCGGUACAAGUGGAGUUGGAGUUACCUCUUCUGGCGGAGCUUGAUCUUGCUCUGGCGGUGUUUCGAACAUUGGCACUAACGGCGGAGCGGGUGUUGCAAAGCCGCCGCCUUGAUCCGGCUGCUGAUCACCAUCACCGUCAUCCGGCGGUGGCGGGGACAAGAAAACCAACGGUGGAACGGGUGUAAAUCCGCCUUGACCAUCCGGAUCCUGAUCGUUACCGCUAUCAUCCGGUGGUGGAGACAAGAAAACCAGCGGCGGAGGAGUGAAAUCCUGAUCACUCGGCGGCGGCUCGAAUUCUUCCGGCGGGUCAGGUGGCGUAUUAAAAUCAGGCACCAGCGGUGGGGAGUGCAUCGUGUAAUCAUCGUCUGCCGGGGGAGCAAAUAUGGGCACCAGCGGCGGCGGUGGUGCCAGGGUGACGCGGGCGGCGGCGGAGAAGGAACUAAAGGAGGCGGGGGAGGAGAUGCCGGCGGAGGGGGUGAUGGAGAUGGCGGAGGCGAAGAAGGCGGUGGAGAAACCACCGGAGUUGGUGGGGGCGAGGGAACCACCACAGGUGCAGGCGGAGGAGAUGGGACAAGCGGAAUGGGCGGAAGACGCGGUGCAAUAGGCGGGGGGGGGGGGGGGCGGUGGGAGGAUCGGCGCCGGGGGAGGAACCGUUGUUCCCGGGGGAUUGCGGCGGCGAGGUGCGGGGUUGAAAGGGUUAUCAGGAGAUGGAGAAGUAGGGAAAGGCCAUUGGCCACAGGUUCCAAAUAGGAAUUGGAAGAAUGGGUCGCAGUUACUUCUUCUUCCUCUUCCUCUAGUUCCUCCUCUGCCUCUUCCUCCUCUGCUCUGCUUCUCUGUUUCCACCCAGUUGCCUAGUGAUUGUGUUGCCAAGAGCAGAAAAGCUACUAAAAUGAAGCUUAUUUUCAUUUUGUGUGUUCCCUUUCUUUGAGAUGAUCACUUCAUAUUCAUUGGAAGUGUGGCCGGAAAACAUAAGAGUUACGAGCUGCAGCCAUUUCAGUGAUAUAUAUAUAGUAGUAUUAAGGUGGAUGGCAGAGGGAGUUUGGUGUAGAAGAUCAAUGGAGUCCAGUGGGCGAGCAUUGAUGGUGCAGAGCAGUGCAGUAAAUGAACCAACUGAUCAGAGCCGUAAAUGGAGACCGGAGCUCUUUCAUUUCGACUCCCAAUAGCUAAGAGGUGGUGUGUUUACUGCUUAGACUUCGUAAACGAUGCCGUAUGGGGGUGGAAAGAUGGGAAGUGUGGUAAUUGUUAGCUUGGUGUUUUGAAAGGAGUGUGUGUGAAUCGUCGACUGUCUUAAGUGGCGUUAAUGGUGCCUAGUUGUACGUGCCAUUUCUGGGUAAGAGUAGACUGCAGAGCAAGCAUGGAGUUAGAAGGAAGAGACUGAGGAGCUUAUUAAUGGCGUCUGAUCUGGUCUCCAUUGCAUGCAUAUCUCUUCACUGUUCCGCCACUCCACCUUGACUCCAUGUCAACUCGCCACCUGUCAUCGUCGAAUCUGCUAUCUGAGUUAGAUGGACAUGCAUGCAAGCUUUACUACAAAAGUUUGACAGAAAACUAUCUAUUGUUUGUUCUUAUAUGAAUGAAUAUUUUGGUACAUUUUGCUUCGAGAACAAAGCACAUUGCUCGGUCAGUUUGGUGUAAGGUCUUUCAUGCAUAGCAAAUCAUCUGAGGCAUGUGCCGGAACACACAACAACUACUCCAUUUGGAAAGGAUCAAUGCGCCAUAUUUCGGGAACCUCGCCACCAAACCAAUGUACACGCUAUGGAAAGCCAUUUUUGCACCAAAAUCAUGCGACCGCGCUCGAUCCCGACUGUUGAUGGUGAAGUAUAUUUGUCUAGGGCUAAGAUCUCAUAAAGUGGGCUGAUAAGUCACUCUAUAGGAUUGCAGUCGCACGUCAACUGAUGUGGAGGGAGCACCUCGGCGUUACUGAUUGAUGUAUCAACUUCUAUUAUUGUAUUAGUUAUUAGACUCUCGUAUGUUAUCACUUAUUUUGUAAAUGAGAAAAAGUAUAAUUGUUCAAUGAGAAAACUAUACACAAUGACAAAAAGUAUAAUUGUACAAAGCUAGUACACUACAAGUAUAACAUGAUUUCCCAACAAGCAGCUAGCGAUGUAAAUGAUUGAGUGCGACCCAUCCCAGUUGCCAAGUUUAUGAUCGUUUUGGGGGCAAAAUUACGACCGUGGAUCUUGAAUUUCCAGCAUUUUCAAAGGGCACCAAAUCACAUGAUCGCCAUGAUAUUGAUCCCACUUGUGCACACUAUUUUCUUGGUGAAAUUAUAGCAUGUGAUUUUUAGUAUGACAAUUUACAUGAAAAUGUACUUUUUCUGUUUUUCUUGGUGAAAUUAUAUCGCACUUUAUACCCUAUAUAUGACUGUUUGCAUAAAAAAUUAUUAAAUGAAUGUCCAUGUUCAUUUGGAUUCUUCGAGCACCGAGCAACAAAGGUCAAACCUUUACAGAAAAAAGUAAUCAGGUUAGCUAACCGCCACAUGAUAGUUUGUCAAGUUGCUACCUCACCCUUAUCUGAGCCUGAAAUUAAGUAUAAACUAAUCCCAAAAAUUAACAUAAUAUAAAGACGAAAAAACCCAGAAAACCCAGAAAAGACGUACUUACCUGUCCCUCUGAAACAGUACCUUUUAGUCUUUUCACACCCCCCCAGCCAGCCAGAUUUCCUUUUCCCCAAACCCACCACAACAAAGUUCAAAUUCAAAAGAAACUUCCCUUUCAUCGUCCCACCUUCCAUUUUCCCUCCUCUUCCUUCCUACUUUCUCCCUUUACCCCUCUCAAAUCUCCCCCCCCAUUAAGAACGACGAUGAACCUUCUUCCUCCUCUCUUCUUGUUGCCAUUCUUCUUCCUCUCCAUUGAUGCCAGGCCCGACGCCACUUUCCCCCCAUCCUCACUUCCUCCCAAUAACCAACCAGCUCCUCUGCUCUCCCCACAAACUGCAGCUUCAUCUCCAGGUUAGGAAUUCUGGGUUUGCAAUGCAGCUUUUCAAUUUGUCAUUUCAUCUGUCAAAGAUUGAAACUUUUAGGUUUUUUAUUUUCAAUGCAGAUAUGGGUUUGGUCAGAGUAGUAGUGCACGGCCAAGACUUGAACAAGAAAAUCCUCAUAGCACUGAUUGUAGCUUCCACUCUGCUGGGUGUGAUCUUGUUAACCCUGUCAAUAAAAUGGAUCUACUGGCUUAUUACCACCAAGGCCAAAAACAGGCCAAAUAAGUUAGAAGGUGGUGGUGCCAAAGGCUCUUCUUCCUUGGAUCCGAUUUCGGAUUCGUUAAGUUCGUUGAGGCUGGCUGGGAAGAAGAAGAACUCCAUUGUGGUUAUGGAGUAUAAGUUGUUGGAAGGUGCAACCAACUGUUUCAAUGAAGGCAAUGUGCUUGGGGAAGGUUGUCAUGGGCGUGUCUAUGGUGCUUAUUUUGACAAGAAGCUCUCUGCUGCUGUUAAGAGAUUGGAAGGUAGAGGGCAAGAUGUUGCGAGAGUGUUCGAGGUGAAUCAAUCACUUUGUCUGCAAAAAGAACUUAUCUUUGUUGCUGAUGGAUUCUGAAUUUUACCAUCUAUGUUUGGUGAUGAUUGUGUUUAUGCAGAAUGAGGUGAAGUGGCUGACUAAGUUUGACCAUCAGAACAUAAUUUCUGCGUUAGGCCACUGCUGUCACAAUGGAACCAGGUUUCUGGUGUAUGAAAUGAUGCAAAAUGGGUCUUUGGAGAGUCAAUUGCAUGGUAUAUAUUUGUCACAGAGUUACUGCAGUCAAGUUCUUAGCUUUAUCACUUCUUAGACCUAUGCUGUUAUAUUGCAAAUUCAGGAGCUACAAAUGGAACAACAUUGACUUGGCAUCUUAGGUUGAAAAUUGCAGUUGAUGUUGCUAGGUAACUGCUUAAAAAGCUCCAGUCUUUUCCUUCUUUUCUGUUGUUUCUUACUUCCUUUGAUGGGGUUUUCCUUUUAGGUUGAUGUUAUAACUGGUUGUCUAUUGUUGGAAACCCAGGGGGCUAGAGUAUCUUCAUGAGCAUUGCAACCCUCCAGUUGUACAUAGAGACAUCAAAUCAUCCAACAUUCUUUUGGAUUCUGACUUCAAUGCCAAGGUAAACUUUCAUAUCACCAAUCAAGGUUCAAUCUUCUAGAGUUUUGAAUUAUUGAGGAGGUUUUAACUGUUUUCUUUUUCAAUUAUCUCAGCUUUCAGACUUUGGGUUAGCAGCAACAUCUGGGAACCAAAACAAGAACAUAACACUUAAAGGAACACUAGGCUACGUAGCCCCAGAGUACCUUCUCCACGGUAAGCCUAAGUUCACAUUUCGGUACAUGAAACCGUUAUUUGUUAACGAAUUCUCUUAUAUAAACCAAUUUUGAACCUUCCCGGCAACAACUUAACUUAUAGGAUGCAACUGUUUCUCGGCAUGGUAUUAGUCUUUGACUAAAAGUCGUACUAUUGAAUCAUGUUAGUCCUUGAUAUCACCAUUUCACUUAUACAAGACUUGGUGGACCUGUGCAAACUUUAUUUCGGAUUUUUGUAGUCAGCCUACACAUGCUAUAGUCUCAUAGUCUUUCUUUAUCAAUUAUAUUGAGUGUCACAAUAUAGUAGACCGGUUACCUGGUUGGUUUAAUGUUAAUAUAUAAGCCAUAUUGGAAAUUUAUGAAUAGGGGUAAAUCUAGGGGAGCCUCUUUCAGACCAUUGUCCAACCCAUAUAUGAGUCUAGAGCUCUGACAUGACAUAAUUUUCCUUUUAUUUUGAGAUGAAUUAGCAUAUUUUUAUAUUUGGUCUAGUUUAUUUCAAAUUUAUAUAAUUUUUGAGUGCAUUGAAUCAUUUUGGACCCGGCGAUGUUUAUGAACCCUUUGAACAGGCGAACUGACAGAGAAAAGUGAUGUAUAUGCAUAUGGGGUGGUUCUUCUUGAGCUCCUGACUGGAAGAAAGCCAGUAGAGGAAUUGUCAUCAGAACAGUGCCAAUCAUUAGUGUCAUGGGUAUACUAACUACAUCUAUUCAAUUACUUGUGAAGUAACAAUUUUUUUCUCUGACACCAAUCUUUUGGAAUGCAGGCAAUGCCCCAACUCACAGACAGAAAUAAGCUUCCAGACAUCGUGGACUCGACGAUGAAGGAUAGCAUGGAUCUCAAACAUCUAUACCAGGUGAUUAUUGACAGAUCAUCAAGUAAUUAAUGCAACAGUUUGAGGAUUAACUUGUGACAUUAAUCAUAUGGUUGAAUAUUAAUAAUGCAGGUGGCAGCAGUGGCGGUGUUGUGUGUGCAACAAGAACCAAGCUAUAGGCCAUUGAUCACAGAUGUUCUUCACUCCCUCAUUCCUUUAGUACCUCUUGAGCUUGGAGGAUCUCUAAGGAUCAUUUACAGAGAUGAUGCCGACUAACGUCCUUUUCUUUCUCUUUAAUUUCCCCUUUUCCCCACUUUAAUUAAGUAGCACAGAUGUAAUGACUAGAUUACAACGACAAGAAUUAACGAAACUUCCAAAGACCUCUCGGCACCUUGUUUGCCUGUGUUCUAUUAAUACUACCGCUCAACAAGGUUUCUACUACUGAAAACAUCGCCUCCUUCCGGGAAACUGCAGACUGCCCGGCUUAGCUUUCUCUCUAUUCACUUCUCUUGCAAAUUAAUCACUAGAUAUUGUUUCUUACACUGUAUACUACUCCACUUUUCCCCCCCUUUCUUUUCGAUGAUUUAGACUGAUCUCAAUUGUGUUCUUAUUUAAUAAAUAUGAAUUAUGUCGCAUAUCCUACUUAGCCGCCACGUCACACAACAUGCUAGGUUGAUAAAAAAAACUUAACGUGAGACUUGUUUGUCAACAGUUGCAUAAUAAAAGGGCUUAAUUCGAGUAAAACAUAGUAGAGUGAUUCGUUUGUUAACUUUGCAUAAUACGAGGCUUAGUGUAAUAACCCUUUAUAUAACAAGAAGUCACAUUCCAUUAGUUAGGCGCAUACAUAAAUAAACUCAAUGUGAGAAAAAUCAUUCUCCCUCUUUUCCGAAAAUCAAAUGGCCAAUUUCGGCAACUGUUUUUGCAACAAAAAGAGCAAGGUAGUCCGGAUUGUAUACCCAGGCGGUCACAUCGAGCUCCACGACAAUCCUAUCCUCGCCGGAGACAUCAUGGCCAAGCACCCCAGAUUCACGGUGGCCCGCCCAGAAGUGUUCCGGCAGCCGUUAUCAGCGGUGGUUUCGCCGGAGACCACACUGAUGCUUGGCCAGAAAUUCUAUGCGGUCCCGACGAGUACCAUCAGGAAGCUUCAGAGGAAGUACAUUAAGAGUAACCCAUCAUCAUCGGCUGAAGGUCAUUAUCGUAAUUGUGUUUAUGAUAAUAGUAGUAAGAGGGGAGUUGGUUGCUUAAGCAACAUGAUUACAAUGAUGACCGGUUCGGGUCAUCAUCGUAAUCACGAUGUUAAUGACGAUCAUCGUAUGGUGCGGAUUGUUUAUAAUGGGAUCGUAGCUCCGACAGCAGCGGGAGCUUUGGAUCACCGGCUGGGAAGAGAUCACCGGCGUCGUCGCCAAAGAAAGGGAUGCAUAUGGAUUAUUACUGGACACCAAAUCUUGAAAGCAUCACUGAAUAAAUCAGCUAGCUAUAUGGUAGGGAUGUGAUUUUUUAUAAUUAAACGAGUUAUAAUGAAAUCAAGAUGGUAGAAUAUCCGUGAGUCUAAAAUUUAAUUGAAUAGACUAUCUCAAAUAUAAAUUUUCUAUUUAAUUCUAUAUUAGAUAGAAUUUCAUCACUAUAUAAUAUCAAAAUAAUAAUAAAAGUCCAACAUUAGUUUUAUUAAUGUGUGUAUACACAAUGCAUUGUGUAAUGUUUCUAUCCACAUUAUACUAUGUGUGUCACGAAUAUAGACAUAGUAUGCAUAUCAUAAUUAAUUUGUAUAUGCAUUUAUCCAAACAAACAUUAACUUUUGUAGGUGGUAUAUAUGGAUGUGAUACAUAGAACAAGCAUAGAGCAUGUUUGAAUCAUAUACACGUCUGAAAAUAUAUAUAGGACUACAUUAAAAAUGAAUUAAAAUGCGACACUUUCAACAUUUUUUAUUAAUCUUUUUUUUAUCUGCAUCCCACCAAUCAUAUUUCAUUUCCCUUAUUUUCUUUUUAAUUUUUCUCUUUAAAUUUGUUUUCCUUNNNNNNNNNNNNNNNNNNNNNNNNNNNNNNNNNNNNNNNNNNNNNNNNNNNNNNNNNNNNNNNNNNNNNNNNNNNNNNNNNNNNNNNNNNNNNNNNNNNNNNNNNNNNNNNNNNNNNNNNNNNNNNNNNNNNNNNNNNNNNNNNNNNNNNNNNNNNNNNNNNNNNNNNNNNNNNNNNNNNNNNNNNNNNNNNNNNNNNNNNNNNNNNNNNNNNNNNNNNNNNNNNNNNNNNNNNNNNNNNNNNNNNNNNNNNNNNNNNNNNNNNNNNNNNNNNNNNNNNNNNNNNNNNNNNNNNNNNNNNNNNNNNNNNNNNNNNNNNNNNNNNNNNNNNNNNNNNNNNNNNNNNNNNNNNNNNNNNNNNNNNNNNNNNNNNNNNNNNNNNNNNNNNNNNNNNNNNNNNNNNNNNNNNNNNNNNNNNNNNNNNNNNNNNNNNNNNGGUAGAAUCCUAAAAAACGAGUAGCUCAUGUAUUACCGCGACACCAGAUAUAGUAGAUUGUAAAUCCUUAGGCAAAAUCCUAAAAAGUGAGUAACCCGUGCAUUACCGCGGCACCAGACACAUUAGCCUGUAAAUCCUUUAAUAUCUUAAUGUGAUUUUAUAAAUUUAAGAAUCAUGUGUAAUUUGAAUGAUAAUUUUAACUAUUGUUAUGGUUACUCAACCAAACCCAAAACGAGUGAAAGAAAGUUAAAUUGGUAGAGUACUUUUAAGUUGUGUAUAAAUACAAAAAUUAUUAACACGUACGGGUAAGACGUGGACAGUAAAAUAUCAUCUGUUAAACCAUAAUUAAACUCUAAAUGUUCAAUCAAAUUAUUAUUUUGGUUAAGUCACGACCGUAGCCCCACGCAUUACCGCGGCGCCACUAAGCACAUUAGCUUGUUUCUCAUAUUUUAUUUGGGGAAGGUUUUGAAAAAGAGAAAGGUGUUCGUGAGAUAAUUGCAGGGAGCCCUUCAUAGUUUGACGUGAAGAUGAGGAAAAAUCACAGUUGCAAGAAGAGCUUAAUGAGUGGAUAUGUUCAUUAGAGUUAUCUAGACUUUAUCUCCUACAAUUCCGAUAUAAUUGCGAUUCGAUCGCAGUUUAAUUAUGAUUUAUAAUGAUUUAAAUGGAAAAUACUUAACGGUAAACUAAACUCUUCACAUCCACAUAUAUAAUGGCUCAUAACACAAUUAACUUACAAAAACCCUCAAUUGAUCCAUUAAAAGAAUCUUGAAUGAAGGAUCAUAUUAUAUGAGUUUAUGUUUGAUAAAUAUGUCCGAUUCAAAUCGAAUCAACACAAUCGAUGUUCUGAAUUAGUUAAGCCAUAAUAAUCGUAACCCUAUUAACUUCUAAAAAAAUGACAUCAAACGGCUUGUUAAAAGAAUCCUAAACGAUUGAUCAUAUCAUAUGAACUAUGCUUAGGUUUUAAGGAUUUGUCCAAUUGAAAUAGACUCAAUGUUGAUUAGCUAGAUCGGAAGAGCGGUUCAGCAGGAUGCGUAACUCGAUUAACUUACCAAAACAGAAUCUUAAUUGGCCAAUUUUAAAAAAACUCGGAUUAAAUCAUUUAAGAUUUUUUUAAUGUCGAUAAGAUAUAUGUUAUUAUAUGCUAUCAUUAAGAAGAUAUAUGCUAUUAUAUAUUAGGAUGAAUCGUAUCAUAGGCCCGUUACAUGGUUAAGGAACAAAUUUCUUAAAAGUUCUUGAAUUUUGUUUAUCGUAUAGUAGAUUUCAAGAAAUCAUAGAAUGUAUUUUUUUUGAAAGUACAUCAUAGAGUGUAUAUUGGUCGAACUCUUUUAGAAUCAUUGAGUUUGUUAGUCGAACUUUAUUGGGUCGUUUCGGUGGGUGAUUUGGAUAGGUGAUUUGGGGUUAUUUGGACCUCCAAAGAGAUUCCGUCUCAAAUCACCCGUUUGGGACAUAAAAAAGAAAAGAUAUUUGAUGAGAUUUGAAAUCACCUUGUGGGCCUGGAGAGAAUUUCGUGGGUGAUUUCAAAUCACCUAGGAGAGGUAGAGAUUUCGGAGGAGGGAGGGGAGAUCUGAAAAUUCUUACCAAAUUACCCUUAAAAUCACUUUCUAAUUUUGAGUAUAAAGGGUAUUUUAGUCGUUUUCUUUUUUUCACCUCUUUAUUGAACUUUAUCUUUCUGUAAUAAUUGCACUCAAAAUCACCCAUAGAUCACCCAUCAAUAUUUAUUUAUUUAUAACCAUUAUAACCUUUAUUUGUAAGUAACCGUCGAUGCACGCUUAGCCAGGAAAAGUGCCAAACUCGGUGUGGGCCUCGCUAGUUCUAAAUCAUGCGCCAAUCCACUAAAGGGCCGAAUCGUGCUUCGCGAGGAUCUCAUAAGCAGAGCGAAUUCUAAUAAAUCAUUAUUUUACACAGNNNNNNNNNNNNNNNNNNNNNNNNNNNNNNNNNNNNNNNNNNNNNNNNNNNNNNNNNNNNNNNNNNNCUGAUUAUGUUUUGCAACAUUCAAAACUUAACUAAUAAUUUUUUAAUUUUGGUUUAAAAGUUGAGGUUUUGAUUUUGAAUAGAAACGAGUAAUCAAGUCAUUAAGCUUUUACUAAUAGUCAUCAACUAUGAAUUAAGAAACAAAUGGAGUGAUUUAAAGAGAGAACUCGAGAUGAUUUUUGGUGUGUAUUUAUUUCCUAUUUUUGAUCCAAUUUUAGUUUAUUAGUGGUGUUAUAAUAUACUUGAUAUUUCCGAGAACAAAAUGAUUAUGAAUGAAGAUUUUGGACACAAACAAACAUGUAGAGAUAAUAAAUUUAAGAAUGCUUUACUGCCAUGAAUGAAAUAAUACAUUUUCUCAAUCACCAACGAUUGUUACAAAUAUGUCCAAUCUCAUACACGAUUGGAUUAUUCCUUUAAAAACUCAUAACAUCAAUCAUUAAAGAAUUAGAAACAAAUGUAUUCUUUUAUUCUAAACCACUCCUAAUAACCUCUGGUUGAUCAAUGAGUCGAAUGCACUCAAAACUUCUUAGGAACUUCAAAGCUCCCCACUCAACGGCAAUCUGAAACCUCUCAAUCAAUCAGCUUAGUUGGCAUGUUGUCCCCAAAAUCAAUCAAACAGUGUAAUGCUGUUGGAUUGUCUCAAUGUCCAAUCCCUUUAGCUUCACCACAGACUCAACAUGUCCCUUCAAAGUGUGGAGCUCCCUUAGCCUAGCAACCUCGGCGCGCCUCUUUGCUUGCUCUGCGAUCUCCGACAGUUCCCUGUAGUUGGUCUUGUCGUUGAAGAGCUGAUCUGCGUUCUCUGGGGGCUGAAGUCCGUGGAGGGUGCGUUGAUCUGCCGCCCAUUGAGCCUCCCUCUCGCCUUUUCCGAAGUCGUUCUUGUUGUUGAAAGCAGUCUGAGGUUUUCACAUGUUAGUUCUUCCAUUAAUGGUAUACUUGUUCAUCAAGUAACACAUUGUUAAAAAAUACUUACCCUUCUUUGAGUAACAUUGUCCCAGGCUUUGCCGCUCAAUGCGUAUCGGAUGAUGAACUUAAGGACGUCGAGUGGAAUGUAGAAUAUGAUGCUGUAAAGCCAGAUGACUCCUGCCCAUCCCCACCCGAUUCCCUUCACCCUUGCGAAUUCCCAGUUGGCAUAUACCGCAAUAAGUGUUGCAACCUUGCAAACAAAAUUGUAAAUGUCAGUCCACGAGCCUAUCGAGAAAAAGUCGCUACUAUGUAUCAAAGUCGUGAAAUUUACCAAUUGGGCAACAAGGAAUGCGAAUAGAAGCAUUAAUCCAGGGCGUUCGACAAAGGACCAGCUUCUUGAUCGGGUGACAAAGAUGAGUGCUUGGCUCACAAUACUAACUUGCAAGUACAAAGCUGAAGUCAACUCAUCUGGGUUGUUCCUAAUCGACCUCACAUGGAACUUCUCCGAGAAAAAGUCAGAGCCGUAAGCACCAAAGAAGAAGAUGACUGUCAUUACAGCCAUAUAAGUACCCAACACAACACCAGUAGCGAAGAUCUCCUUAAGCUUCCAUGAAUCAGGCAUUGGAGACGGCUUUACCCUAUCCUUGGAGAUAGUCAUGAUUGUGCCGUCAUUAAGGAUGGCAAUGAUGAGAACCAUGAAAGGGGAGAAGUCAAACUUCCAGAUGAGUGCAAUCAACAUGAAUCCAAGCACAAUACGGAUUGUGAUAGAGACUGCAUAGAUUGUGUAGUUCUUCAUCCUCUGGAAGAUGGCCCUGCUGGUUAGCACAGCGCUGACAAUCACACUGAGUCCAGGCUCGGUGAGAACGAUAUCGGAGGCACCCCUGGCUGCAUCAGUAGCAUCUGCCACUGCAAUUCCAAUGUCGGCUUUCUUUAAUGCUGGAGCAUCAUUCACACCAUCUCCAGUCAUACCACAUAUGUGUUUCUUGUCCUGAAGCCUCUUCACGAUUUCGUACUUGUGUUCCGGGAAGACUCCAGCGAAUCCGUCGGCCUUCUCGAUCAACUCGUCAACCGGGAUGCUUGCAAUUGACUCGUCCUUGUGUUGGCCAAGAAGUGCUGAGGAUGGGUACAUGUUGGUCCCCAUACCAAGCCUACGUCCAGUCUCUUUUCCGAUGGCCAGCUGAUCACCAGUGAUCAUCUUGACAUUCACACCAAGAUGGAGAGCACGUCUGAUUGUCUCAGCACUAUCGUGUCUUGGUGGAUCAAAGAGUGGCAAGAGACCAACGAAUUGCCAUGGUCCUCCAGCGCUUUCCUUUGUCUUCUCUGGCACAGUCUGGAAAUUUGAACAAUGGGAUAUCUUAAUAUGUGUGACAAUUAGUAUUGCUAACCAAGUAAGGAGAUAUAGAGAAAGGAACUCACUUGGCGACCGACAGCCAAUGAACGCAAGCCACGAUCAGCAAACUUGUCAAUGAUGGAAAGAGCUUUCUUCUUGACAUCAGGAGAAAGAUUGCAAAGCUCAAUAAUUUGCUCUGGAGCACCUUUGCUAGCUCUAUGCCAGUUUCCUUGCCCGUCAAUGUAGGUGAUAGCGGAACAGUGGGCAUGGCAAUGGGGAUUCCUCCAAUGAGAAGCACCAAGAGAUUGUCGAUUCCAUCUCUGUACCUCCUGUGUUGGAUUGGGUACAUCACUAUGAUCUCAACAAGCAUACCCGCAGCAAUUGAGCAUAUACAAAAGUUUCCAAUUGCUGUCAACACCUGCGUAAUUAACAAAAAAAAAUAUAUUUAGGCAAUUUAUCAAACAUUUGGUGGGCAUGCUAUUUUUUCACAUAUUAAUUAAUCUUCCCUACCUUUUGGAAAUGUCCUUCGUUGUUGGUGCUAUCCACGAGGUGAGCUGCCUUACCGAAGAAGGUGUGAACUCCCGUGGCUAUAACGACGGCUUCAAGCUCACCCUGUUUACAAGUGGAGCCGGAGAAAACUUCGUCGCCGGAGUUUUUGGUCACAGGCAAGGACUCUCCGGUGAGAGCAGACUGAUCGAUCUUUAAAGGAUCACCUUCAAGGAGACGCGCAUCAGCUGGGACGAUAUCUCCCAACUUGAUGCUGAUCAUAUCUCCAGGAACUAAAAGAGCAGCAUCUUGCUCAGCCCAUUUCCCAUCUCUCAACACUUUCGUCUUGGGAGCCAGUCCUGCCAUGAGAGCAGCUGCGGCAUUUCCCGCGUUGUUUUCUUCGAUGAAACUGAUAGUCGAGUUGAUCACCAGGAGCGUCACGAUUCCGACGAAAUCUUGCCAAUCCGGUGGUUUCCCCUGAAAAUCAAACACAUUUAGUCAUAGAGAAACGAAACAAAUCAACAGUAGAAAUAAUAUGGUGUUUAAUCAAUUACUCCUCCGUUGGCCAAAGCAAUAGCCAUAAUGGCUGCAAUCUCCAUGACCCAUGACAGAGGAUUCCACAUGAAUCCAAGAAAUUUGAGAAAUUUGUUCUCUUUCUUCUCUUCGAGCUUGUUUGGCCCGAAGAUCGCCAGCCUUUUCUGUCCUUCAUCGGCCGUCAGGCCGCUCCUCGAGCAUUGCAGCUGCUGGAACACUUCCUCCACCGGAAUGCGCUCCUAUAUAUAAAAAAGAAUACACAGUAAAAAUCCAUCAAACACCAUUUUAGAACAAAAAAGACACCAAAUGUAGAUUGAUGGGAGAACUCACAAGGUCGACAUUCUCAUUUUUUAUUUCUUCCAGGCCGAUUGCCAUCUUUGCGUUUUUUCACCUUUAUCUGAACCAGAGCUCUGUAAAUUUUUAUUCAAAAAGUUACUUUAUUACUGGGGUGAAUAAUGAAAAGUUAACUCUGCUUAUUUAACUACAGAAGAGAGGAAGAAGAGAGAACAGGUAAAUAAAAGCACUUGAGAUGUGGUGAAGCUGUUUGUAUUCUGUGUCCUUUUUUUAUAACUCAAGCAGUAACUAAGUUUAACCGUGGUAAUUUUUUUAUCCAACUCAGUCUUCCCAACCAUGCGAACUACUUGCAGUUCUUUGUGGCUUAUCAUUUAACUCCCCGUUUUUUACUCUUUUGACUCAUUCUUUUUUACUAUUUAUUGGGUUUUUUCUAUUUAUGACGCAUAUUUUCAAUUUUUACUGUUUUGUGGUAACUCUACUUUUACUCUUCAUCUCUUGUUCUUAAUUUUUGUUACAACCCGACACGUUAUUACUGUUUGUUUUUUUUAUUUUUUACCAUACAGAUGUCUGGCUGCUUGCUGCUAGAGUCAGUUGGCCACGGUGUUUACAAUUUUUAUUUCUGUAACAAUUCUCUACCCGUUAGUGGAGUUAUACAAUAAGUAUGUUGUGGUAUAAAAACAGUCUAAUAUUUUAAUUUNNNNNNNNNNNNNNNNNNNNNNNNNNNNNNNACUCGUACCUUUAUACACACAUAACCUUGCUGAAAAUUGCACUUACGAAUGUACAACCUUCGUGUUCCAAUUUUUGUUUAUCUCGACAAUGAUGUGAAUUCAUAAAUAGAAAAGGUACUUAUUUCACUAAUUUGACUCACCAAUUUGUCUCACCACUUAUAAUGUUACCUUAUGAAAAAGUAUGAAAGAUAAUAUUUUUACAUGACGUGAAUAAAAUAUAUAUGAAUAAUUGAUAAUUGGUCUAAAAAGUUAGCAUUCACACUUGAAUAAUAAGAUAACAAACUAAUUCUCCCAUACUAAAUACUUCUCUUAAAUAUUCCAAAAAUCAUCGUAAUUAGUUUUGUGCAACUUUAUGUUAAUCAAUGAUCCGAUAAAUUCAAAAUAUAACUCAAUUGAUUGAUUGAACGGGAUAAGUAAAAAAAGAAGUAAAACACAGCCACCUUCGGAGAAGAAGCCAUGUAAGUAAGGGUCAACUCUACACGUUUGCAGAUUGAAAUAAAAUUUUGGCUCCGCCUCUAACUAUUAAUGAAAAAAAGUAAAAAAAGAGAACGGAUCGAUAAAAUUCAAACGGAUCAUCUAAAACAUCGAUCGCGUAUAUAUGAGUGGUCAUUUCCCCGCUCGAUUUAAUUUAGCAAACUACUCCUCAAAACAGGACAUAAUGUUCAAACAUGCCGAUGUCGUAUUUUUUGGGUAUUUCUAGAUACCCUCGAAUGGACUUUCGAAACUGUGCAGUCCAGUUUCAGAUGAUAGGAUAUAUAAACAGCCACCUUGGGAGAAGAAAGCCAUUUAAGAAAGGGACUCUACACGUCUGCAGGUUUGAACAAUUACAUCCAUCCACCACUUUUGACCAAAUCGAUACAAAUUUACGAACUUUGUCAUGAUCGAUCGGUACAUCCAUCCACCAAGUCUUAACUCUUAAGACAGCAAAGAGAUUGACAAUAUUGUCAAGUGGCUAGCGUUCCAAAUUCGAUGCUGUAUGCUGAGAGCUUGCCUCAGAGUCAUAACAUCAAACGGUAGAAAAGUCUUCAUUCGAUGCUUAAUGCUGUUUCUCAAGUUUCCAGUGAGAGCUUCUUUCUUAUUUCCUUAGUCACCAAGGAUUCAUCUCCUGGCCUAUAUAUAUACCCAUUUCUUCAACCAGUACAAUACACACCUACCUCAGUACUUCAAUACUUCUACUCAUCGUUCCCCAACACAAUCUCCCAUACAUUUUCUGCUCAUGGUAAGAUACUAUUUUGAUUACUUAUUGUUAACACUCUGGUUCUUUUUCUCCUUUGUCGGUGAAGUUUGGUGAUGAUUAACAAAUUAUACCGGUUAAAGGUAUUAGUGGUACGGGAUUUAAUGGUUCAAUCUAAUAAGGUGUCAUAUUAGACACAUUAUCAAAACUCUUGAGUACGCUCACUAUCAAUACGUUAUGUUGAUGUAAACACCAUUUUAUCGUAGAAAUCGAUUGAACAAUGGUCUAGUUCAACAAUGGUCCAUUUUCCCUCUCUUUGUUUUGUUCUAACUUGCUAUCUUGCUUGUUUCCAAACACAUUUGGGAUCCUGGUUGGACAAAUAUCAGGCUGUCCAAAUUGAGGUAUAUACCUAAAGUUCCAAUUCCAUCCAUCUAUCUCCUCCUCCUGUUUAAUUUCAAUCUUAAUGAACAAGAUUCUAAGUGUAUGUAAAUGUAUGGUGCAGAAAACCUUUUUCCAAGCUUCAGAGAGGGUCAAGUCAGUAGAUUUCCAUACAUCUCAGCCGUGGUACGUACUUAAUACUUUCUAGGCUUGGCACUCGACCAUGUGAAAAUGCAGUUUUAGGGAUCAUAUAAAACUGAACCGGUUACUGUUCGAGCAAAAUGGCAAUCAGUAACCUUUAGUGACCCAAGCAUAGUCUCAUAAUUACGGUGCUUGGAACUGCAUUUCUUGUAGUAUAUGCAUGAAAUUUAUGAUCGGUUCUUUGAUUUUUUGUAGGAUUUUGUCGAGCUUGCAUUCAGGACAGGUCUGCAUUUGGAACUUCCACACUCAGGCACUGGUGAAGUCCUUCAAGGCCACGGAUUCCCCAGUUAGAACAGCCAAGUUCAUUCCAAGGAAGCAGUGGAUUGUGACAGGAUCCGACGACGGAAAGAUCCGGGUCUAUGAUGAAGAUUCCUUUGAGCUUAUUAAGGAGUUUGAUGCUCACCAGGAUUUCAUCAGAAGUGUGGCUGUCCACCCCACGCUUCCGAUCUUGAUCUCAGCUUCUGACGACAAGGCUGUGAAGCAGUGGGAUUGGGAGAAAGACUGGGAAUGCACUCAAGUCUACGAUGGACACUCGCAUUACGUGAUGCAGGUUGUGUUCAAUCCACUGGAUGCCAAUACAUUCGCAACUGCAUCACUUGACAACUCCGUUAAGGUACAUACAUCGUAACAUCCCGACAAAAGCGCUUUUAACUUUAGAGUUCUUAUCAAAAAAAAUUUUGGCUGCAGAUAUGGAAUCUUGGAUCCCCUGCUGCAGUUGGGUCGUUGGACGGACACCUGAAAGGAGUGAACAGUGUGGAUUAUUUGGUCUCCAAAGAUGAUCACAAACUGUACCUUCUGAGUGGCUCUGAUGAUUUCUCAGUUAAAGUCUGGGACUUGGAAACAAAAACUUGCGUCCAGACUCUGGAAGGCCACACGAACAACGUUUCAGCAGUGGCUUCCCACCCGGAGCUCCCAAUCUUCAUUUCCGGAUCCGAAGAUGGGACCAUUAACAUCUGGGAUGCCACCACUUUCAAGUAAUCAAUCAUUCAACUUCUCACAGCUAAUCCGGGAUUUCGUUUACUCUUCUGGUACUGAUGUAUGAAUGAAUAAUCAUUGUUUCAUUUGCAGAGUUAUCGAAACUUUGAACUACAGCCUGGAAAGAGUGUGGGCUGUUGGGUACAAGCAUGGCUCAAAGCAGUAAGUGUCUCAACUAAUCAUUACCAUAGUCAAUCUUCCAUCUGAUAUUUUGGUUCAGAAAUUAACAUCUCUUUUUUUGGCAGGGUGGGAUUUGGGUUCGACAAAGGGACUGUUAUGGUGGAUGUUACCAGCCUUUAGUUUCCCCAGCAACUGCUGCUGCUGACUUGGCCAUCCUACUACUACUGUUUUCUCUCUAUGUUUAGUUACUUUCUGUGUGUGUGUUUGUGUGUUGGAAUAAACUAUCAGAUGCUAUCUAGUGUUGUCUUUCUCCGUGUUUCAAUGGCGAUAUGCGAAAGCUUCUACAAUUCGUGCAAAUUUCAACACUUAUGGUUCAAAUGUUUUACUCCUUACAACUCUAAACCGAAACUGAUCUCUAUGGACAACCAAUGAACAAACAAGCGCAUGCAUACACACAAAAAAUCCAAUGUAAGGAUUCAUUUCUCCUAUCUCUGCGAAAUGGCGAGCUUCCGUAAAAUCUCUCACCCCAAGUACAGCAGAAGAAGCACCUUCUUCACCUUCUGCCACUCGUCGCAGCACGGGGCUUUGCUUUCACCUCCGACUCCUGCACCAUUUUCAGCAACAACAAAAACAUAUCAUCACAGUCGACAUCUCCAGUCUAUGGUUUAGCAAAAGAGUAAAUGAAAUAUUGCACCCACCUGUGGCAAAUGGAGAAAGAUGCUGGUUUUUGCCGUUGCUGGAUUGUGGUUUUCAGCACCUUUGCUCCAGUCAUAACAAACCUGAAGCACAAAUGAUCGCAAGUACAUCAACACACCAAAUUUACUCCUCUUAGAUUAUGAUGCUGACUGGUCAAAGAUAUCAGAUACAUACCGCAUAUGCGUAUAUAGAGCCAUCAUUGUUAAAUGCACUGCAUGUUAUUGGCUGAUUGCACCUUGACAUAGCCUACAUACAUGAUAAACACAACAAAUUAGAUAUUAUGAUACUGUUCAACCAAACCCCAGAAUCUGAAAAUGAAGCAUCACAUUCAUCAGGUUCCAUUACUAGAUAAACAAGUGUAUACCUUUACGUCCAACCCCUGAAAUAAAUUAUAUCAGUCACAUCCAAAAAUAAGUGUCUUCCCUCAAAUCAGGGUUAAAAGGAUAUAGACAUUGGUGAUUUCCUAGUACCAUAAAAGUUGAAAAGGAGAAAACUAUCGAGCUAUCGAGUCUUGGGGACUUGUGGAAAACUAGCACAAACCUUUAGCCUCUGUUUGCUGUCCUUAUCCCAGAAAUUAAAAGCACCAUCAGAUCCUGCUGUUGCAAACGUAUGGUGCACCUGGAUAUGGAGAAAUAAGAUUUCAAACUAAUGUCAGAAAAGAAAAGCUGACAUCAUAUACUAAAUGACUUACUACUUCGUUGAAACAACAAUUCAAAACUCAUGAGUAGAGAGGUAAAGAGUACGAGAAUUAAAUGUGAAAGAUCUUACCGGAUGGAAGUUCAAGGAGUUCACUGAGUAGAUGUCAUUUGAUUCUCUGUGGCACUUAAAAGUGAAGUUUUUACCCUGCUGAGCAUCAUCAAGAUGGUGUACACCAACUCUUCCUUCUAUCGAACCAACCUGCAUGAGUAUCAGUUACACAGUUGAACAUAUUAUACUUUGCUCUUGAAAUAAUUAAGUUGUAUAACGAGAAGAAAGCAGUCAUAAUAACAGUUGAGGUUCCGAUUUGCACAAUCAUGGCACCAUAACAUAGAUACGAUUGGCCCAUCACAUCGAUACGAUUUAAAUGGUUCGAAUCAAAUCUCUAAGAGCCUAAUAUUGGCAAAUUUUUAGGUUCGAAGGACAUCCCAGUAAGAAUAGAAAUGACGAUGAGAAACUUAAAUGCAUACCAAAAAUCCUUGCUGGUCAGGGAAUGCAGCUACACAUCUUGUCUGAUACUUCAGUGGCGAAGGAAUUCUCUUGAAUUCGGCCUGUCAAGAUUGCAAAUACAUAAAUAAGAACAAAGUACGACAUUAAAUUAGAGAAAACAAUAGAACUCCUGAAAAUCCACUAUUAAUCAUAUACUGAGUUCUCCCAUGCUGCGUUACCUGUUAGUAGUGAGUGCAUAAAACCAAUUUUACCUACUUAUCUUUUGAGAGCUAGUGCAACUAAAAAAAGGGACAAGUUACCUGAGGAUUUUGCAGGUUGAAGACUACGAGGUUCCUGUCUGCAGUACCCACAACCAUAAGUGGGUGGCGCACCGACAUAGAAUAACAACGAUCAGGAAGCUGCUGAGUAUGAACUGGAUUUGGCUGUCUCGUAUCCCAGUAUCUGUUUAUAUCGUCAGAUAAAUCUAGCCAUUAGAUUCAUAUAUUAACUAGUAAUAAGUGUAUUAUGAAAGAAAAUAAACUACUUAGCAACAAAGAAUAAGAUCAGAGAGAGCCUUACUUCAAGGUCUUAUCCCAACUGCCUGACACUAAGAGGCUCAUCUCAGGGAUCCAAGCUACUUCUUUAACUGGUGCGUCAUGCAUGGCUACAGUCACAGCUUGGCCUCCUGAGAGUAACGGCCACAUCUUAACUUGUUUGUCACAGCCGCCGGAGAAAACAGUAGUUCCAUCAUCCUUCCAGGCAGAGCACAACACCUAAAAACACAACAAAAGGCAGCAAGAAGAAGAAAUUUCAUUAGAAUUCCAAUAGAAAUUCAAGCAAUAGGUUUAGACAAUGGUUUGACAUCAAGAUAUUACCGGCUGGUCAUGUGACAUUGAUGCCUUGGGCGCACUAGUUGCAGUGCUGGCAUUCCUUGAGAUUUCCCAACAUCGCACCUGCGUCAUUAUUCUAGAUUUGAGAAUGCUAUAACAUUUGCAUACAAAAACUAGAAAGAAAACGAUUGUAGCAUUUGGUUAAAUGCUUGGAAAUUGAUUAAUAAGUUUUAGGCACAUUGUUCCUCCUUUGAUGAAAGAUGAAGUUACAUUAAAGGUGAACAACAGAUCCAUGAAAGGGUACAGGUAUACGGAAAAGACAGCAGAAACAAUAGAACUUCUCAAUCAGGCACAUUGUUCCUUUGAUUAGUUACUCCAUCAGUAAAUUUCCAGGAGCUCAACAGGGCGGAAUCAGAGUAAUAUAAACCAGAAAAUUUGUAACAAAAACGUAUUUGAGUUCGAGAAACCUGAUUAUCCCACGAAGUAGCCACCAAGUGGUUUGCCUUAGGACUGAAGCAGAGACUGGAAACGGAGUCCGUCGGGGGCUGAAUCACCUAAAACAACAUCCAAACAAGACGGAUUAUUAUAAGGAAUAAGGCAAGCAAUCCUAAAAAUAAAGCGAACAUCUCUUAAACCCUAAAACAAGAAUGUCACAUUUUGCAAAACUUGGCAUCUCAGAUACAUACACGCAGCAAAACCUAGUUCAAAACUAACAGCAACAAGAAAAAGGACUAUCAAGCUUAUUGAUCACAGAAAGACGUAUACUAGGUAGGGGAAUGGGUGAAAGCUUCUCCGAAGUCACAUUAUAUCGAUACUUAACCAGCGGAUAGAAAUGCCGAGGUAAAGAAGAGAUAGGAACGAGGAAUUUACCUCAAAGGAUUUGUUCGGAUUAGUGUUUCCGGCGGAGGCUGCACCGAAGGUCGCCAUUAGAGACGGCAGGGGAGUCCCAAGAAGAUGGCAGGAAUCAACGAAGCUUAAUCGAGUUUGGGAAAAUAAAGGGAGGGAAAUCGGGAAUGAGUCUCGAGAAGUUGCUGUCAACGGCAAAUAUAUGACACAGAGUGGGCGUACAGUUAAAGUCGACUUUGUUUCACUCGCGUACCGUUAAAGUCCGACUUGCAGCAAACGCGACUCCUCCUUCAGAAGAUGGGCCUAACGGCAAGAGCAACAGAGACAGCCCAUUCAAAUGAAAUGGGCCUAUUUGAUUUUAUUUGGGCCUCCGCCCAGUAUGUUUUCCAUUGCUUGCCUCUUUGAAUUUUGAAACAACUUCGAAGCUUUCUGAAAUUCGAUUCCAUUCCGAAAACAAAUCGAAGAAGAGACGCGGCGGCGACGACUACGACUACAAGACCCGCCUAAGACUUUAAAUACUUGUUCUGUAUUGAAAGGAAGAUCCUGUACUUGCUCCCCUGCGGGAACAGACUCCGAAGUUUAACCACCUAUAGUGAUGAUCCUUUAGAAUUCGAGUCUCCUGUCGAGAAGUCAUGGCCUUCCGGAGUUGCUGAUCGGGAAAACAUGGCAAGUACGAUGUUUCGCGCUAGGCUUACCUUGGCGCGAUUGAAGCACCGUCAACUCUGCACCGGCACAGCUAAGCCCAACAACAAGAAGAAGGGAAUCGGUGGUGACAAUGGCGGUGAUGGUAACAAGCAACCGUCGAGUGUUUCCAGAUACAAUGAAACGUACAGCCAGCUGGGAAAGCUCGACUUUAUGACAGCCGCCAAGAUCCUCUUCACUGAGCCUCCAAAGAAGAAGUUUGGGUAACUUUAUCUCUCUCUUCUUAUGGUCGAUCAGAAGUUGUUGUUUUCCUAUUUGGUGUUGUUUGGGUAACUUUGAGACAUUUUGUCGAACACGUUCUGUGCUCGUGACUACUGGUAAAAUUUUAAAAUGUGUUGAUUGUUUCCCGUUGAGAACAUAGUACAUUGCUGCAUUAGAUAUUGGUUUGAUUCAGCUGUCAUUUCAUACUUGUUUCUCUUGGUGAUGCUUCCUAGUGAUGGAUCAAUUUGUUCCGACUUGUAGCUUAGUAGGUUAUAUCUCUGCAUCAAGAAUAUGGUCCGCUUGCAUCGACUGAUCUGAGAAUGGUUCCUGCUUUUUGUAAAUACAUGCUAUUAGAGGCAUGCCUGAGUUGCUAGAGCUUUUGAUGAUUAUUGGCAGUAGACUAGUAUUAAGGUAACAUACCUAAUGGCCUUCCAAUUUGAAUUACAGCAAUUUCUGCUUUGUUAUUAGUUAUAUUCAUGAGAGCAUGUAUAUUAGCUCUCCAUAUCUCCUUAGCUACUCCUAGAAAGACUUCAGUUAUCACUUUGUUUGAUCAGAAAUAUGCAUCAAUGUCAGGACUUUGUGCAAAUGUUUUUGACCCUGAUUCAAAAGUAUAAUACAUAGAUAGCCUAGUAACUAUCUUCAGCUCACGGAGAACUUUACUAUCACACUCGGAUCUUGAAUUUCAAUUGUAAUUUUCACCAAUUCCUCUGUUUGCCACUGGGAACGUACUAGGCGAUGGUUUUGUUAAUAAAUCGUUUUCUUGUUAAUUGAACAUAACUUAGGUUUUUGGGCGCUGAUCCAACUUCCUUAAUUUGUUUUGACGUUGAAUGUAGAGUGAAUUGAUAGCCUCGCUCAAGCAGGAUUCUUUAUAGACUAAUCUCUUUGAUUUUGGGAAUUUGACAAGAGGAACAGUUCCUUGUAUCUCUAUGGGCAAUUUGAUGGAUAAGUUAGUUGAUCAGUGUAAUAGUUAUAUCUUUAACCUAAUCACUUCAUCUCAGUUUCAGGAACAUCUGCUUACUUACAUCCAUCUUGUUUCAGGCUUGAUUUUCACCUGGUACAACUAUUCUUUGUCUGCUUGCCAUCAUUGGGUAUAUAUCAAUCCACAAACUUCUCCACAUUCGCUCUUUCUUUACUUGAAUUCUGUGUCUGGUUAGUUUUCUGAUGUCUAAUGACCGUGUUUCUCUGUAUACAGCUGUGUAUUUGGUGGCCAUGUAUUCUCGUCGUGAAAUGGAGAAAUUUGAAACGGUAACUUAAGAACCUUAUGCUGCAGUGACAACCAAUUUUCUUCUCCGCUGCGAAUCCUGUCUUCUGUAGAGAGCAACUCACUAAUGAUUUAUCAAUGGAAGCUUUAAGCAUUCAAUCUUUCCUUAUUGUGUGUUGCUACAUGAACAAUACCAGGAUUUCCAGCACAAAAAGAAGAAAGAAGAAGAGAUGAAAGCAAAAGAAGAUGAGCAGAAAGCGAAUGAAUUAGAAGAGAGGUCAAAUGCUGCUCUAUCAGAGAUGAAAACGAGAUUGGAGCAACUAGAAGUGGCCGUCAAGGAAAUUGUGGUUGAUAAAAAGAAAGGUAGCACCAAUGAAGAUCAGCACGUUUCAAAAACCCAGUCAGGAACACCUUCCAAGUAAGUCGAAUAUGCUCGAAGCAAAGAGAUAUGUUCUUCCGGGAAAGCUUUUGGAGCAAACUUCGUUCAUACAAGGAAAAAAGGAGCAAGCUUCUGGUUUGCUGAACUCAAGUCCUGUAAAUCCUUAGGGCAAGAAUUAAGAUCGGUGGUUCGAUGUGAAUGUAGGUAAAUCUGGAGCAAAAUUUUGGGUGGUGUGUCAUGCUUAGGUGAGAAGCAACUUGGAAAUGGUGGAUCAUGUCUUUGUUUCCGUGAAGUUUGGAAUUGUUCAAAGUUGAAACUAGAGAUAAGAUCAGAUUUGUGGAUUUGACUUCCUGGCAAGCUUGAACAGCGAAGCAAGGUGUUGGGCCAAAUCAGUAAUCAGAAUGAGAUUUUUCUUAUGAUAUUUGGUUUGACCUCACAUGUUUAUGAAGAAGUGUUUCGGCGUGGACUCUAUCUAUUACUUCUUCGCUACCCAAUCUUGACUCCCCUCAACCUAGCUGAUUUUUUUUUAUCUUUUGAUAGUCCAAGCAGUAACAUUUAAAUCAGUGAAUGAAGAUUAUCGACAAAACUCUUGAGAAAUAAAAGUAACGAGUGUCACAAAAAAGACGUAUUGAAUGAAGAUGAGUCGUAGAAGUAGAUGUCAAGAUCAAGAGGUGUCCCCUGAUAAUAGCCCUCCAAUGGACAGUCGACGAGCAGAGAUGCUUGAGAAAACUGCUCGGCAUCCUCUCGAAGAGCCCCAGAAAAUCCAACUGGACCCAACUUCAAGACUUGUUAAUAAAUCACACCGUUGAAUAGAUAAUAUAAGAGACAUUCAUGCAGAGUAGUCAAUACAAAAGAGACUCGGCAGUACACAUCUGCAGGGAUUCAUAUACGAAAGAAGGAACGAACCCUCCUUGUCUCUGACGAUAGUGGGUUGGAAUUCCAACUGUGGACAGUGUUAUUAGCGACCGAGUAUUGCAACCAAAGAAGGCAAAAGAAAAAAGACAGAUUUAAAGGUGAAAAAAGAUUGAAAAAGAAGACGAAGGAGAAGUCAACAUCUCACCAACUUCCUUGUUUGUUGGGUUUGGGGGGAAGGUGGCGAGGAAAGUGGCGGGGCACGGUGGUAAUCAUCCCAUCUCCGCCGGCCAAUCUUUGGGAUUAGAUAGCCUAUGAACAAACGUGCGGGACCUCAUCAUUUCCCACGUGGCAGUAGCUAAAUGGUCAAUCUCAUCAGCCGGGAGUAGGUGAAGGACACUAACAGCACAGUACUCCAUCCAUCCCCCAAAUGGGCCCCACUCAAGAAUAUGUUGAAGAGUUAACUUAAUACACACUUUAGCCCCUUUACUAUUCAAAGUUUACUAACACCUCCUAUUAUGUUUUGAUUUACUCCUCUUACUCUCACUACCAUUAGUCUCAAUAUGUUUUGUCCCUCGUGUAGUGACACUUAAAACUCUAUUUUAUCCAACGGUUCGACAUUUUUUUCAUUUCUCAUUAUAUUUGGCCAAUUUUGUAAUAUCUUUUGCUGUAUAUCACAAAUUAACAAAAAAAUUCUAUCCUUUUAGUUUUUCCAUCCAUUUAUCAUUACAAUAUUAAUAAUAAUACCAAAAUUAAUUGAGGAAAAGUAUAUAAAUUUUAUAUUAAUAAAUGAAUAUAGUUAUUAUUUUGUUAUAUUUUUAUUUACGUGGAAUAAGGGAUAUUGCAAUCAUCCGCCAUGUAACAACACUGGUUGACCAGACAUGUUGAGUGAAAAAAAAGUAACAAUAGAUGGUAAAAAAAACUGACAGAUGGGCUUGUUUGUUACGAUUUUUCAAAGUAAAAGAGAUUAUUUCGAUCAAAACAUAACAGGAGACAUCGUUUGUUAAGUUUACGUAGUAUAGGGGCCAAAAUGCUAUUAACCAAAUAAGAAACAAUAAUAAAUAAAGUGUUAAUAAUAAUAACCACUCCACCAGCCAUUUCCCCCCACUAUUAAUUAUUAUUUNNNNNNNNNNNNNNNNNNNNNNNNNNNNNNNNNNNNNNNNNNNNNNNNNNNNNNNNNAUUAUUAUUUAUUAGUUUAUUUUUAUAUAUCUGCCCAUCUACUAUAUUUUGGUCAAAUAGAUGCCAUUUCAUAAAAAAUUAUAUAUACAAGUUUGGAUUUAAACCACUUGCCUGCCAUGUGGACCGUCCAUUUUCUCUCCCCCCCCCCCCCCCCUCAAAAACAAAAAAAUAAAACCACACGCUAAGCUAACUCGGAGCCAAAGGACCAAACCUCAAACCAAAUUCCCACCGGCCGUAUUUCUGCAACUCAAACCUCUCAAUCUGAUAGCUAGCUAGCUGCUGAUCGCCGCAUCUUCAGUUCUCCUGUCAGCUUCAGGUAAUAUUGAUCAACUUUUCUACAACCGACCGUCUACUUCACCUCCUCGAUGUUUAACGAUUUGAGAAAGGAAACAUAUGUGAAUCUCUGCAAGAGGUAGAUUCGUUACUCAAUUUUUUUUUUUAUGUAACUUUGUACGAUUCGUAUAUAUGAUGGUGGAAUAAAGACGACAUACAUGAAUAACUAGAUGGAGAAUUUUGGUGAUUGGAAAAAAAACAAUGUUGAGAGAUUGUGGUGGUGAUGGUUAGGUGAUGAUGGAAAGCGAGCGUGUACAUUUAGAAGGUUCAAAUUGUCAUAAUUAAUAUGUCGAGUGGUCCAUUUUGUUACUUUUGAAAUGUGUAUUGGAGUAGAAGUGAAAUAAUAAAAAAAAGGAAAAAAUAGCAGAGUUGGUAAUAGAUUAAAUUAAGAAAAAUACGGAGAAAUCGAGAUGCCUUGUAUCUGAAAAAGUAAUGAAGAACAGACAGCAGCCUGCCACCUGUCCUUUUCAUUUUCAAUUUUUGUAAAUCAGACCAACUUGCUCUUUCUAAUACGUCUCUAUAUAUACAUUCACGUUCCGCAGACCAGAAUAUCAAAUCUGAAAAAAUGAAAAUCUCCGUCAAAGAAUCGACGAUGGUCCAGCCGGCGGAGGAGACCCCCAACGUGGGACUCUGGAACGCCAACGUUGACCUUGUGGUCCCCAGGUUUCACACCCCAAGCGUUUACUUCUACCGGCCGACUGGAGCGGCCGAUUUCUUCGAUCCCGACGCCAUCAAGCGGAGGAUGGGGAGAGCNNNNNNNNNNNNNNNNNNNNNNNNNNNNNNNNNNNNNNNNNNNNNNNNNNNNNNNNNNNNNNNNUUGAGAUCAACUGUAAUGCGGAAGGUGUUCUGUUUGUGGUCGCGGAGACUACCUCUGUGAUCGAUGAUUUCGGGGACUUUGCUCCCACUUUGGAGCUCCGGCAGCUUAUUCCGGCUGUGGAUUACUCCGGCGGGAUCUCUACUUAUCCUCUCUUGGUUCUCCAGGUAAUUAUCUAAUUAACAUAUUGGUCCGAUUAGACUGCUUAUUCUUUCAGUAUUCAAUUUUGCAUUUAAUUAUUGGAUAAUGAGUCUGGAAGUUAAAUUCGGUGUUUAUCAUGUCCGAACCGAAAUAUUUAGGCAAAGGUAAACCAAAAACCGAAUGUGGAAAUUCAGUAACCAAAAAGUGUUUAAAUUUUCGAGUAAUUUGGUUUUGUUUCGAUCAUUAUUUCGGUUUUUUUGUAUACCAAGUAACCAUAUGAGCAAAUGUUUGUUUUAUUUUAUUUUAUUCAUACCGAACCAAAUCAAACUUUUCUUCUUGAUUAAUACAACCAUGGAUGAAUUAAUUAAUCAAUCAAGCAUUUACUUACAGUAGAGCGAUCUCUAAUUUUACUCAAUACUAAAAAAAAUUCAGGUGACAUACUUCAAGUGCGGCGGAGUCUCACUGGGAGUCGGGAUGCAACACCAUGCCGCCGACGGCUUCUCCGGCCUGCACUUCGUCAACACAUGGUCCGACAUGUCCAGAGGACUCGACCUCACCCUCCCACCAUUCAUCGACAGGACACUCCUCCGUGCUCGGGACCCGCCCCGACCCGCUUUCCAGCACAUCGAGUACCAGCCUCCUCCCUCCUUGAAAACCAUCUCCUCCUCCGCCACCGCUGCAUCCGAUUCCGACGCAGUGAAAGCCUCCGACGCCGGCGUCAAGCCUCUGAAAGCCUCCGACGCCGGCGUCACGCCGCCAGCAGCUGUGUCGAUAUUCAAGCUGACCCGGGACGAGCUCAACGCCCUGAAAGCUAAAUCGAAAGAAGCAGGAAACACCAUCAGCUACAGCUCCUAUGAAAUGCUCGCCGGCCACGUCUGGCGGUGCGCCUGCAAAGCAAGGGGACUCGCCGACGACCAAGACACAAAAUUGUACAUCGCCACCGACGGCAGGUCCCGCCUCCGCCCUCCACUCCCCGAGGGAUACUUCGGGAACGUGAUAUUCACGAC